UCCCUGGAGGUCCAGUGGUUAAGACUCUGUACUCUCAAUGCAGGGGCAUGGGUUCAAUCCCUGGUUGGGGAA
Molecule: transfer RNA, 72 nt
Filed under: Bos indicus x Bos taurus (hybrid cattle)
Lineage: Eukaryota; Metazoa; Chordata; Mammalia; Artiodactyla; Bovidae
Rfam family: tRNA
About the family: Transfer RNA (tRNA) molecules are approximately 80 nucleotides in length. Their secondary structure includes four short double-helical elements and three loops (D, anti-codon, and T loops).
Source: Rfam by way of RNAcentral